UGGGGAAUUUUGGACAAUGGGCGCAAGCCUGAUCCAGCAAUGCCGCGUGAGUGAAGAAGGCCUUCGGGUUGUAAAGCUCUUUUAGUUGAAAAGAAAAAACAGUGAUUAAUAAUCGCUGUUUAUGACGGUAUCAACAGAAAAAGCACCGGCUAACUACGUGCCAGCAGCCGCGGUAAUACGUAGGGUGCGAGCGUUAAUCGGAAUUACUGGGCGUAAAGGGUGCGUAGGCGGUUUUGUAAGUCAGAUGUGAAAUCCCCGGGCUUAACCUGGGAAUUGCGUUUGAAACUGCAGAUCUAGAGUGCGGCAGAGGGAGGUGGAAUUCCAUGUGUAGCAGUGAAAUGCGUAGAGAUAUGGAGGAACAUCGAUGGCGAAGGCAGCCUCCUGGGCUAGCACUGACGCUCAUGCACGAAAGCGUGGGGAGCAAACA
RNAcentral lists this ribosomal RNA (427 nucleotides) under uncultured bacterium. RNAcentral's name for it is "bacterial SSU rRNA". It matches the Rfam family "Bacterial small subunit ribosomal RNA", at positions 355 to 774 of the family's 1533-position model. The record is from RNAcentral.